AUAGUUCUCAUAGUUCUAACCAUUAAUUUCCAGCCCUGCUCUCAUCCAUAAUGCUUGCUUUUUGCUUCCAUCAGAUGCUUCGAGGACAAAUCAGACCUGAGGAUUCUGAACAGGCUCCAUGGAAAAGUCCCUGUUCCAGAGGCCUAGCUGUCACAAUCCUGAUUUCUAUACCUCUUCAGUCUAGAUGCUUGCAUCGCAGGGAGACAAGAACAGCCAUUCAUGUCUUUUGAAUGCAGGAGACUUUGAACAUUGGCUCACCCCAAACAUGUAUGCUGUAAUGUCUUGGAAAUGGGAAUAAUAUCCCUAUUGCAAAGACUCUUGUGAAGAUUAAAUGAAAAUAAAAUGCAUUGUGUG
Molecule: long non-coding RNA, 354 nt
Filed under: Vulpes vulpes (red fox)
Lineage: Eukaryota; Metazoa; Chordata; Mammalia; Carnivora; Canidae
Description: lncRNA (ENSVVUG00000008218.1)
Source: RNAcentral